CCUACGGGGGGCAGCAGUGGGGAAUAUUGCGCAAUGGGUGAAAGCCUGACGCAGCGACGCCGCGUGAGGGAUGAAGGUCUUCGGAUCGUAAACCUCUGUCAGCAGGGAAGAACGGUCACUGUGCUAAUCAGCAGUGAAUUGACGGUACCUGCAAAGGAAGCACCGGCUAACUCCGUGCCAGCAGCCGCGGUAAUACGGAGGGUGCGAGCGUUAAUCGGAAUUACUGGGCGUAAAGCGCUCGUAGGCGGUAUGUCAAGUCAAGGGUGAAAUCCCCGCGCUCAACGUGGGAACUGCCUUUGAAACUGGCAAACUGGAGUGUGUGAGAGGAUAGUGGAAUUCCAGGUGUAGGAGUGAAAGCCGUAGAUAUCGGGAGGAACAUCAGUGGCGAAGGCGACUAUCUGGCACAUAACUGACGCUGAGGAGCGAAAGCGUGGGUAGCAAACAGGAUUAGAUACCCGAGUAGUC
Molecule: ribosomal RNA, 465 nt
Filed under: uncultured bacterium
Lineage: Bacteria
Description: partial 16S ribosomal RNA
Rfam family: Bacterial small subunit ribosomal RNA
Source: RNAcentral